CCUACGGGAGGCAGCAGUGGGGAAUAUUGCACAAUGGGGGGAACCCUGAUGCAGCGACGCCGCGUGAAGGAAGAAGUAUCUCGGUAUGUAAACUUCUAUCAGCAGGGAAGAUAGUGACGGUACCUGACUAAGAAGCCCCGGCUAACUACGUGCCAGCAGCCGCGGUAAU
RNAcentral lists this ribosomal RNA (169 nucleotides) under uncultured Blautia sp. RNAcentral describes it as "partial 16S ribosomal RNA". It matches the Rfam family "Bacterial small subunit ribosomal RNA", at positions 338 to 524 of the family's 1533-position model. The record is from RNAcentral. Lineage: Bacteria; Bacillati; Bacillota; Clostridia; Lachnospirales; Lachnospiraceae.